Salmo salar (Atlantic salmon) is the source of this 1716-nucleotide long non-coding RNA. RefSeq lists it as uncharacterized. NCBI's taxonomy places the organism in Eukaryota, Metazoa, Chordata, Actinopteri, Salmoniformes, Salmonidae. The record is from RefSeq and is a predicted model, not a curated record.
CCAUAGCAGCAACAUGACUUCAGCUGACCCAACGGCAGAUAUUACUCACACACUACCCAGAUUGCGACACAAUUCCAACCAAGGGAUUUUUAAACAGGGGAAGAACAAGAAAAUGAACCAAGCGCUGUAACCCCGUGCUUUUAGAGAUUCCUACUAACCAAACUAAAACCGUAGAUAUUAGAACACCAGUACACCAGAGGACAGGCCUAUGUAUCGUAAACAGGAUGUGAAGAGUUAAAAGAGGGUUUUUCCACCGACCACGCGCUCUCACCCACACAGUCCGUGCAACAGCUGUGGAGAACUAGACUGUAACCGUCUGAAGUCUACUGCAUCGCAACGCAGGCUCAGUGUGGUGUGUCUACUGCUGUCCGGACCCAAAGGAACCAGCUCCUUCAGCUGCUCGAGGUACAGCCGUAGUUUGGCACGUCUGUAACACAAACAACCAGAGGUGGAGAGUGGUGAGGAGGCUAUAUCUCAUCCUGCCAGACUCAUGGCAACGCUGGCCAAGAAAAACCCACACAGGUGUUCUAAGAAAGACGUCGUAACGUGAGUCGACCGCCCCCAAAACUGAGGGGCAUGUCACACGGCCAAGGCAUCUUCAGAACCAAAAUGGCCGCUCUGUGUGUAUAUUGUACUGCAGUGUACGGCCUUCAGAGAGAAAAAAACCAUUGACCCAAGGGGCCCCAGAUGCCAACGCCCCAAAAUGACCACCUAACCACAGCCACACCAGUCAACACAGAAAAGCACUCGAUAAUUUGAUGACAGUCGCUUGAGUGAUGUGUGGUAAAAUUAACAAAUGUAAAAGUACUUGACGCUACACUGGAUAUGGGCUGUGUCCGACAGCGUGGCAUGUUACUGCAGCAGAAGAGAACAGAAACCAGUUGCAUGAGGUUUCUGCAUGAUGCAAAUUGAUAUAAACCUACUGUUAUUGACUCAACACUGGUUAUGUCCUAGUGGGAUCAGAUCCGAGCACUCUUAUCCUAUACUACUCCUAUAGUCAAUUUGUGUCCUAGUGGGAUCAGAUCCUCCACGCCUAUCCUAUAGUCAAUUUGUGUCCUAGUGGGAUCAGAUCCUCCACUCCUAUCCUAUACUACUCCUAUAGUCAGUUUGUGUCCUAGUGGGAUCAGAUCCUCCACUCCUAUCCUAUACUACUCCUAUAGUCAGUUUGUGUCCUAGUGGGAUCAGAUCCUCCACUCCUAUUAUAUACUACUCCUAUAGUCAGUUUGUGUAACUCUUUUCAUAGCUACUUUUAUCCCAUUUUGUCCAAUAUAUAGACUUGUAUAUAGACUUCCUAUUGUGUUAUUGACUGUACGUUUGUUUAUUCCAUGUCUAACUCUGUGUUGUUUGUGUAGCACUGCUUUGCUUUAUCUUGGCCAGGUCGCAGUUGUAAAUGAGAACUUGUUCUCAACUAGCCUACCUGGUUAAAUAAAGGUGAAAUACAAAAUAAAUAAAAUGCCUUAUGUUUUCUAGGAUAAUGCAUGAAGCCUUUCUAUGUCCUAGCUAGGCUUCCUUCCUUCCUCUCCUCCAGUUCUCCAUGUGAACAGUAAACUGGUUCUAACUGCAGACUGCCUCCAGUCUGUCCUCAGGUCAUCCCUCCAUUACAAUCAGUCUAAUCACAGACAGGCUGCUAGCUCUCUGGCUGAGGAGCCCAGCACACCUGGGUCUGUUGUGAACACGCACACACAGCUGCACGCACACACAUGUGCAUGUACACAC